This 608-nucleotide ribosomal RNA is filed under the name Listeria monocytogenes. RNAcentral describes it as "bacterial SSU rRNA". It matches the Rfam family "Bacterial small subunit ribosomal RNA", at positions 69 to 661 of the family's 1533-position model. The record is from RNAcentral. Lineage: Bacteria; Bacillati; Bacillota; Bacilli; Caryophanales; Listeriaceae.
GGAGGAAGAGCUUGCUCUUCCAAAGUUAGUGGCGGACGGGUGAGUAACACGUGGGCAACCUGCCUGUAAGUUGGGGAUAACUCCGGGAAACCGGGGCUAAUACCGAAUGAUAAAGUGUGGCGCAUGCCACGCUUUUGAAAGAUGGUUUCGGCUAUCGCUUACAGAUGGGCCCGCGGUGCAUUAGCUAGUUGGUAGGGUAAUGGCCUACCAAGGCAACGAUGCAUAGCCGACCUGAGAGGGUGAUCGGCCACACUGGGACUGAGACACGGCCCAGACUCCUACGGGAGGCAGCAGUAGGGAAUCUUCCGCAAUGGACGAAAGUCUGACGGAGCAACGCCGCGUGUAUGAAGAAGGUUUUCGGAUCGUAAAGUACUGUUGUUAGAGAAGAACAAGGAUAAGAGUAACUGCUUGUCCCUUGACGGUAUCUAACCAGAAAGCCACGGCUAACUACGUGCCAGCAGCCGCGGUAAUACGUAGGUGGCAAGCGUUGUCCGGAUUUAUUGGGCGUAAAGCGCGCGCAGGCGGUCUUUUAAGUCUGAUGUGAAAGCCCCCGGCUUAACCGGGGAGGGUCAUUGGAAACUGGAAGACUGGAGUGCAGAAGAGGAGAG